This 224-nucleotide ribosomal RNA is filed under the name uncultured bacterium. RNAcentral's name for it is "partial 16S ribosomal RNA". It matches the Rfam family "Bacterial small subunit ribosomal RNA", at positions 1268 to 1500 of the family's 1533-position model. The record is from RNAcentral.
CGGAUCUCGAAAGCCUGUCCCAGUUCGGACUGGAGUCUGNAACCCGACUCCACGAAGUUGGAUUCGCUAGUAAUCGCGCAUCAGCCAUGGCGCGGUGAAUACGUUCCCGGGCCUUGUACACACCGCCCGUCAAGCCAUGGGAGCCGGGGGCGCCUGAAGUCCGGGACCGCGAGGACCGGCCUAGGGCGAAACUGGUAACUGGGGCUAAGUCGUAACAAGGUACC